RNAcentral lists this microRNA precursor (191 nucleotides) under Oryza glumipatula. RNAcentral's name for it is "MIR812 microRNA precursor family". It matches the Rfam family "MIR812 microRNA precursor family". The record is from Rfam by way of RNAcentral. Lineage: Eukaryota; Viridiplantae; Streptophyta; Magnoliopsida; Poales; Poaceae.
AAAAAAGCAAACCCUGGAUUUCCGUGUCCAACUUUAACUGUCCGUCUUAUAUGAAAUUUUUUUAUAAUUCGUAUUUUUAUUGUUGUUAGAUGAUAAAAUAUGAUUAAUAUUUUAUACGUGACUUGUGUUUUUAAUUUUUUUCAUAAAUUUUUUAAAUAAGACGGACGGUCAAAUGUUAGAAACGAAAACUC